GUGAGGAGUCUGCUUCUCUCUCCCCCUCUGCCCCUCCUUGUGCUUGUGCCCUUUCUCUCUCUCACCUGCUCCCUCUCUCAAGUGAAUCAACACAACCUUUAAGAGAAAUUUUUGUUUUAAAAAAGAAAACAUUCAUGUUUUAUCCUAUAAAAAGUUAUAAAGUCUUUUCUUGAAUUUCUAAUCUUUCCCAAAGAAAUGUAUGAGAAAAAUGGUCCAAUACCCAUUUCCUUCUAGAAUGGUCCAUGUAGAAUGUAAAACAAUUCUAUAAUGACAGUGGGCCCUGAGUAAGAUCUAUGUUCUCAUAUAUGUGAGCAAUCGCUAAGGCUGGGCCAUUUAGCUGUGGUCCAUGCAUUUUAUCCUAUAUAUAAAGUUAAGGCUCUGCAGUAUAAUAAGACAAUUCGUAUGUAUUUAUUUUCUCCACCCUGGUCAAGAAGUCCUGGGGACAAAUAUUUCUCCUUAAGAACUUAGGGAUUCAAAAGAGUUCAGGAAAUAUAUAAAUAUAUUUUUUUCCUAGAUGCAACCAGGCAUGUAGCACUGUGGAAACAAGUUAAUAGCAGAGGAAGGGAAGUAGAUCAUUCUGGAAGCAAAACCAGCAUUUUUUAAAGGAGCUGAGCAUUCAUUAAGUGAAGUGCAUUGGUAGAUAUCACAUAAAGAGGAUUUUUCUCUCACUCACGGAAAACGUUAACGUCAGACAGCUAAUGCCCAGAUGUUUCUUAGAUUAAUCACUUGUUAAAGUGCUAUAAGCAUUCUUUCAUUGGGUUAGCAAAUAUCUGGCCCCUGGAAGGAUCCAGAAGGACAAGAAUUGCAAGAGGCUACAGCUGAGAGCAGAGAUCAGAUUAUAAGGGCCUUUGCAUGAGGGCUAAGGAGUCUAGAAAGUGAUCCAAAGGACGAGAGGGAAUAGGGACAGGAUCAGAUUUGCAUAUCAGAAAGAUUAAUCGGGCUGUCCAGUGGAAAAUGGAUUAGAGGGGAAAAAAGGGAGGCAGGAAAACCAGUAAUGGGGACUGAUCAGGUAAUCCAGUGCGGAGAUGGUGGUGGACCGAAUCGGAGGAGGGGCAGUGAAGCUGGAGGAAAACAUAGGGAUUUGGUAGUAUUUAGAUGGCAGGGGUUAGGGACCCCAGCGAGUGGAUCAGUGUGGGGGCGGGUCCUAGCAAGCAGAUGGAGAGAAGGACAAUACCCAGUAUCUGAGGUGAACACACGGGUAGAAGGGCACUUGGAUAAGCGAUAUGAGGAGUAUGGGCAGGUUUCUCCCCACGUCGGGGUAAGUGUGUGUGUGACCGGUGUUGCUGAACCCAUGUUUGGACAUGCUGAAUGAGAGGCUCUGUUGGGCCCCCGGUGGCAAUGUCUCACAGGCAGCUGGUUAUGUGGAUCCUGAGCUGACUCUUGCUCUGUCUUCAGACCCGUUCUCUCUUUGAGUUUAGAUAUGAACACCUAAAUACUGGCCAGAUAACUCCCCUGAGAGGCCUGACAGACGCGCAGUGGCUCGAAGUGCAUAUACACAUGACAGGGCAGCAGAACUAACUCAAGACCAAAAGGUGCCUUCACAGAGCAGUGUAGAUACCGACAAGCCUAAUGAAGAACCUAUCGCUAGAAGGAAACAAACUCCAAGUGAUCGGCAUCUGUAUUUGCUAAGUCUGCAUCAGUAAAAACACCACCUGCUAUAACAGUUGGGUACGUGUGGCAAGAAGAGAGCAGCUUGACAUAAGCUGGACUCCCUACGGGUGCCCUGUGGACAAAGGUACCUGCAUCACACUGAUGCACAAGAACGUGUUCCAUAUACGUAAGAUAGACGUAGCUCACUGGAAUUACAUCAAGGAUCAAAGGACAGCAUCGGGUCCUUCCUUGUGAACUGCUGCUGUCUACUCAGGCCCAGUACAAAGCUCAGUGCCUCCUCAUCUGUGGCUCUGCUCGGAGGUCAGAGAUCUCCCAUUCUUCUGAACAACCAGAGCCCUGGAAAUCUGCACCACCCAUCUGUGGCUCUGAAUGGCUCUAACUGUUUCCUUGGGUACUUUCAGAAUAAUGAUUCAGAAGAUCAAUUCCCACAGACUGAGCAUUCACCAGAUACGUGUCAGGAGGAGACCAAGGCACACCGUUAAGACGUGCUCACGGGGAAAGCCCUUUGCAGACUGGCACAUCAGCUGCUGCUCUGAGUGCUCGUGCUCCCGAGUCCCUGGUCU
Molecule: long non-coding RNA, 2174 nt
Organism: Canis lupus familiaris (dog)
Lineage: Eukaryota; Metazoa; Chordata; Mammalia; Carnivora; Canidae
Exons: 4
Source: RefSeq, a predicted model, not a curated record